This is a long non-coding RNA of Neogale vison (American mink), 558 nucleotides long. RefSeq lists it as uncharacterized. The transcript is spliced from 5 exons. Lineage: Eukaryota; Metazoa; Chordata; Mammalia; Carnivora; Mustelidae. The record is from RefSeq and is a predicted model, not a curated record.
UACCAGAAUGCUUCAGAUCAUCGGGGGCCCAUAACCUUUUCAGUGUUCAGUGCCUGGAAAAGUUUUAAGCUCCUCUUGCGUGCAGUCGGUUGCGUUUUAAGGCUGAGAGAAUCGGGCAGGGAUGGCCCCGGGGACACAGCGGUGCUGCUACAAGCACAUCUCUAUGUGGUCUUCUUGAUGAGGAAAAGUCUCCACCUCUCUGCACAGAAGCUCACCAGUGAAUAAUGGAGAGCCCUUCCAACAAAUUUGGAAGAAAUAGAAACUCUGUCAUUCACCAUCUAGAAGACCAGAAGUAUUUCCAAACAGAACUUAAGCCAACACCGCUCAAAUUCUAAUAUCCUUAGAGGCAGCAGUUUUAAUCUUGAUAAUCUGUAAAAGCAGUACAUUUGGUGGAGAGGCCUGCAAAGGACCAUAAUGAUGACACCUCUGGCCUGCCUUCAGCAGGCUCCGCACAGCACCCCACACCAGGGUGCCACCCAGCAGAAUACUGAGACCCAAGGACUAAAACAGAAGCCUACAAGGAGCCUUCGACAAAACCUUGGACGUGUCAUAUCCCAA